This 457-nucleotide long non-coding RNA is filed under the name Mus musculus (house mouse). RNAcentral's name for it is "long non-coding RNA chr16:22295000-22295457". The record is from RNAcentral. Lineage: Eukaryota; Metazoa; Chordata; Mammalia; Rodentia; Muridae.
GAGUCGGCCCGGCUGUCCCGAGCGCCAUGUCGGGUUCUUCUAGCGUCGCCGCCAUGAAGAAGGUGGUCCAGCAACUCCGGCUGGAGGCUGGGCUCAACCGCGUGAAGGUUUCCCAGGCAGCUGCAGACUUGAAACAGUUCUGUCUGCAGAAUGCUCAACAUGACCCUCUGCUGACUGGAGUGUCUUCAAGUACAAAUCCCUUCAGACCCCAGAAAGUCUGCUCCUUUUUGUAGUCAGCUAUCUUGAGGUUUCUCAAACCACUUUUCAUGAACCAGUGAAUAUUCAAGAGAACUAAAUUUGAAGUCUGUACAAAAGCUUCUCUUUAACACGUGCCAUAAUACACUAUCUUCUGCUCGUCAGUCCUUAACAUCUACCUCUCUGAAUUUCAUGGAUUUCUGUCUCACAAGGUUUAACUAUUUUAUAUACACUGGCUGUAGCAUACAAUAAAGCAUCAUAC